AUUGAACGCUGGCGGCAGGCCUAACACAUGCAAGUCGAGCGGGGACUUCGGUCCUAGCGGCGAACGGGUGAGUAAUGCUUGGGAAUCUGCCCAGUAGUGGGGGAUAACGUCCCGAAAGGGACGCUAAUACCGCAUACGUCCUACGGGAGAAAGAGUGGGAUCUUCGGACCUCUCGCUAUUGGAUGAGCCCAAGUCGGAUUAGCUAGUUGGUAGGGUAAUGGCCUACCAAGGCGACGAUCCGUAGCUGGUCUGAGAGGAUGAUCAGCCACACUGGAACUGAGACACGGUCCAGACUCCUACGGGAGGCAGCAGUGGGGAAUAUUGGACAAUGGGCGAAAGCCUGAUCCAGCCAUGCCGCGUGUGUGAAGAAGGCCUUCGGGUUGUAAAGCACUUUAAGCGGGGAGGAAGGUUCGCGGCCUAAUACGUCGCGGAAUUGACGUUACCCGCAGAAUAAGCACCGGCUAACUCUGUG
RNAcentral lists this ribosomal RNA (472 nucleotides) under uncultured bacterium. RNAcentral's name for it is "partial 16S ribosomal RNA". It matches the Rfam family "Bacterial small subunit ribosomal RNA", at positions 30 to 507 of the family's 1533-position model. The record is from RNAcentral.